RNAcentral lists this long non-coding RNA (796 nucleotides) under Populus tremula. Its description in RNAcentral is "long non-coding RNA (PTRE_LNC002396)". Lineage: Eukaryota; Viridiplantae; Streptophyta; Magnoliopsida; Malpighiales; Salicaceae. The record is from RNAcentral.
GACAAUGAGUGUCCAUGUGAGAUGCAUCAAGCAAGACUGUAAUUGAUAGGGCAAAGGCCAUUGUUAACGGGCCUCAAGAGAAAACCAACGACCUUCAAAGAUGGUUGGCUGAUGAUCAUGAACCCAUAGUAGCCACCAAACUAACACAAUCCAUUUGCAAAUACGGGCAACCUUCAAAGACCUGUUCUGUUCUCUCUUGGUUGAUGCUUCUGCUGCAAUUCUUCAAAAUCGAGGAUGUGCAGGUUUGAGUCCAGUGGCAGAGGGCUCAUACAAAAUUAUCUUUGAUCCCUGGUAAGCAUGAUCGUUGAGUAGAAAACAGCAAGGUGACAGUUUCCUCCCAUUUUCUUCCUUGUUGAGGUGGUUUUGCGAUCCGUGGUAGACAUAGUGAUAAGCUUAUGGCAUUAGUAGGAGGAGGUUGAAGACAACAAUGACAGAGCUGGAAUCCUCACUUCAUUUCAAGACUCAUGCGUCAAUAAACUAUCCUAUGAAUAUAUUCAAAAGGAAGCAGUUGCCCGGAAAGGUAAUGCUAAAAGGUUUCCUCUCAUUAAUUGAAAAAUUGUACAGCUUGCAGACGGAGUUUAGUUUAUAUGAAAUAAUUAAUUAGUCCAUGCUGUAUAAAAGAAUAAUUAAUCUGUCCUUUUAUCAGCAUUGACCAUCCACAUUUCAGUAGAUUUUUGCUCCAAAAAUGCUUGUUUCCUAAUUAAAAAGAUUUCCAUCCACCUAUUUCUCCUUUUCUUUCUCAUAUUUUUCAAUGAAAAAAAAAUUAAUUGGAAAAUGACAUGGAAUUGACAAGGGA